CUUCAAACUAGAGACUAGCAUUUUUCCUCUCUGGCUGUUGCAAAGCAUGAAGCAAGGGCAAUGCUGGGUCACUCUGGAAUCUUCUUGGGACCUGGGAGACAGAGAAAUGUCUUGAUUCCACAGUUUAGACACAAGGUACACUAAAUACCAGAAACAGCUCAGUUCAACCUAUGUGUAUUGUGCCGCUCUUACAACUAGAAAUACAGAGAUGAGGACACCCUCUGGAAAGGCAGUGCACGCAGAAGAGACGGAUGGAGACAACAAUGCGGCUGCCCACAGAAUCCCCUAUAGCCAAGACUUUGUCCAUCCUUCCUUCAUCCUUCAGCGAGGUCUGCCGCCUUCUCCAAGCCUCAUCUUGGAUUCUCAGAUGCUGCAGCCUGCUAAGACUGUGAUUCAGGGCUUUUCCUGACAAACCCUACUUCCCAUCUGGAUCAGCCUGACCCAAGGGAGACAGGACCUCCUAGGCUGUACCCCACCCCUCUGCUGUGUUUAACUAAGCUAAGCCUGGACAAGAGGGGCAAAUUGAUUCAAAGAGAAAUAAAUGACCAAAAAGAAUAUGGUGCAUGGAUAGGGUUAAAAUCAUGAUGAUCCUUAAAGAACCAAAUUUUAGGAAACAGUGUUUUAUGGGACGAUGUCAUCAAAAUUUCUUGUGCACUAAGAUGAUGAACUUCUCUCUCUUCUUCUGUAUAAGGGGUCUAAGAUUGUCUGCCUGGGGUGGUCGUUGGAAAGGUCAGAAAAAAGGUAAGCAGAACACUAGCCCAGUUCCUGGUAUACACAUUCAUGAGGCAUUAUUGUAUUGUUAUUGUUGUGGUUGUGGUUGCAUAGCCCAUAAUCAGGGGAUGCACCUUUGCCUCUGUAUUUCCUACACAGCCUGGAGCCUUCAAGAGAGAUGCUCAUGCCUGGGGUCCCUGCUCAGGCUGUCAUUUGGUUCAAUAAUGCCGCAAAGGGGUAGGAGGCAGAGUGUGCAGAGGUAUCUCCCGGGAGAGCAGGAUCACCUCCCAGGCCUGACCCAGGUGCUCCAGCUUUUCGGAACACUAUUUCGCUUCAACACACCACAAGGGCUCAAAUGAAAUCAUCUGCAAUAGGAUAAAGGAUUCCUAAGGCAGGUAAUUCCGUAGACAUUUCCCCCAAGGUCAAAGCUCCUGGCAGCCAGGUGUACCCUCUCCCUUCAAGUGCGAUUAUGUCUGGGCUUAGCCAGAUGAAGUUGCAAAGUGCAGAAACCUGUGCAGUCUUAGAUCACCCCAGUCGAUUUUGCAGCGAUCAUUGUCUGAGUUAGCUAAUGGCAGGGUACGAGGACCUCCCACUGAGAUUCCAUUACCUUGUAAUUUUCAGCUUGUUCACUGUUGCAAUAAAGCCCUCUGUCUUAUAAUUCCCCAGCAUUCUCGUCUCAUCUUCUCAAGAACUGAAGUAUGUAAGAUGCUUUCUGCUGGGGAUUCAUUGAGAUAAGUUAUUGAAGUCAAGCAGAG
RNAcentral lists this long non-coding RNA (1466 nucleotides) under Equus caballus (horse). Its description in RNAcentral is "lncRNA (ENSECAG00000047407.1)". Lineage: Eukaryota; Metazoa; Chordata; Mammalia; Perissodactyla; Equidae. The record is from RNAcentral.